RNAcentral lists this long non-coding RNA (400 nucleotides) under Brassica napus (rape). RNAcentral's name for it is "long non-coding RNA (BNAP_LNC012219)". Lineage: Eukaryota; Viridiplantae; Streptophyta; Magnoliopsida; Brassicales; Brassicaceae. The record is from RNAcentral.
AUGUUUGAAGCCGACUUGGAUCGUUCACUCUCCAUGAAUUGUACUUCAUAAGACCAAUCCUGUCAAGAAGCAGCUUUCUGAAGGAGACAUUCUUGCAAGCAAGGAAGUUCUCAUCUCUGUGCAAUGUCUUCAGCUCUUCAUAGGAAGGCCAGUCACAAAGUUUAUAAGCAUCCUACAAUAAAAUCAUUUCUCUUAGUAACCAAUUUCAAAAAUCAGAUUAUAACCUACUGAGUUACCUUCAAAUUCAUAUGCAGAUCAUCAGCAACACUAAAGAGGACGGAAUGGACGAACUUUGCCUCGUUGAAUCGCUUCUCAAACGCCCACAUCUCAGCCUUCGACAGCGGUGUUUCAUCAAGGAUGAUUUGCCUCUCUUCAACACUCACAUCAGCAACUCGAAAUG